GUGAAUCAUCAAAUCUUUGAACGCAAAUUGCACUCCCUGGUAUUCCGGGGAGUAUGCCUGUUUGAGGGUCGUUAGAACAAAAAUCGCGGCGUCGCUCUUUUUUUUUAGGGUGAUCGCGUCGGAAUUGAGCCGUCUUUCAUAUGUUAAUUGAUGUCAAAGUAGCUUGAAAUUCAUCCAUCCGGUACGAUUAAAUCGUAUUUAUGAUCAACUUUGUUUAAGAACGCGCGAUGAACGUACCAUCUCAUGUAGUACGUUUGACUUGAUGACAUCAUGAUCACUCGUCUACGAAACUCA
Molecule: unclassified non-coding RNA, 294 nt
Filed under: Funneliformis mosseae
Lineage: Eukaryota; Fungi; Glomeromycota; Glomeromycetes; Glomerales; Glomeraceae
Description: partial contains 5.8S ribosomal RNA and internal transcribed spacer 2
Rfam family: 5.8S ribosomal RNA (bases 1-71)
Source: RNAcentral